UCACCCCUCAAGCCCGGCUUGCUGUUGGUGGCGGCGGGGGCCUCGCGCCCCCGCCCCGCCCAAAGAUAAUGACGGCGUCUGUGAGGACCCCUGUACACUGAGCUCUCGGGCACGUACACGGCGGGAGUCCGGGCGCCGGUCGCCGUCUCUCCGGAGACACUUUUUUCUAA
RNAcentral lists this unclassified non-coding RNA (170 nucleotides) under uncultured Herpotrichiellaceae. RNAcentral's name for it is "sequence contains ITS2". The record is from RNAcentral. Lineage: Eukaryota; Fungi; Ascomycota; Eurotiomycetes; Chaetothyriales; Herpotrichiellaceae.